Molecule: long non-coding RNA, 170 nt
Organism: Triticum aestivum (bread wheat)
Lineage: Eukaryota; Viridiplantae; Streptophyta; Magnoliopsida; Poales; Poaceae
Exons: 3
Source: RefSeq, a predicted model, not a curated record
UAGAAAUGCAAGAACAGAAGCUUUGCGAGGUGGUUGUUGAUGAAUCAUGUAAGGAUGGUGCAGAACUCACAAGAGGGAAAAGACCGAACUGCGGUAACCAAAUCAAAUAGCUGAUAAGGUUCACUUGGAAGUGGUUGAGGUAGCCUGACCUGGUGAGACCUGGUGACGCG